UUUGGGUACUUUUUGAGAGAAAUAGCUAUGGUUUUAGGUCAAUAGUGUUGGCUGAUGCUAGUUGCUACCUUGGCUGGGGUCUUAGUAUCUCUGGAUAGUAUUUGUGGGCAGCUGUUACAUCUGGACACGACAUGUCCUGUUGGUCAUUCACCUUCCCAGGGGGAGUGCAAGUGUGUAUCAGCAUCUGACAUCCUGUGUUGGGAAGGCAGCAUUCUAAACGAGCAAAUUUGUUCAGAAACUCCAAGUUUCUGAAAUGGUUUAUCUAGUCCAAGGCUUUGACAGGGAAUAUGAGAUCUUAUUAGAGGGCAAAGAAAUUUCAAUAUAUUCUAUGUGAACAGAUGUGAACAUAGUCUAGUUGCAGAUCUUUACAUUUGGGGUCAAAAAAUGAAAGAUAUACUUUUCUUAGUAUGGAAGGCAGAUUGAGGUUAAGGGGAAUUGCAACUUGACCUCAAAGAAUAUUUAAGUGUCUUUAAAUGAUUACCAAGUUAGUCCUCAUAUAAAAGGGCAACUGAUUAACGAGGUUCAUUACUAUUUUUUAUAUUUAUUUAUUUGGCCAUGCCCGUGACAUGUGGAAAUUCUCAGGCCACGGAUUGGAUCAGUGCCACAGCAGUGCCACGGCAGAGAUAAUGCCGGAUCUUUAACUGAUAGGCCAUGAGGGAAUUCCUCUUUCUUAUUUUUUAAACCAGUUAUUCGAAUAAUGAGUUAGGAAGUUUACUUAAAAAAUCCCAUUCCCUUCUAGGUAUAUGUAAACCAACCUAUGGACCAUGGAGACUGCAAUAGUCUAACUUUUUAUUUUUUUUCUUUUUAUGGUUGUACCUGUGGCAUAUAGAAGUUCUCAGGUUAAGGGUUGAAUCAGAGCUGCAGCUGAGGCCUACACCACAGCCACAGCAACACCAGAUUUGAGUCACCUCUGUGACCUACACCACAGCUUGUGGCAACGUCAGAUCCUUAACCCACUGAGUGUGGCCAGGGAUCAGACCUGCAUCCUCACAGAGACAACGUCAGGUCCUGUACCAUAACAGGAACUCCAUAGUAGCCUAACUUUGAUAACUUGCUCCUGGAUAUGAGAAGGGGGCCUUGGUUUUAAUAUGGCAUAUUGAAACAAUUGCCAUUCUAUUUCCCCCCUGCUCCCAGGAUUUUCUGGACUUUGUGACUGGAUAUGGUGUCUUUGAGACUUGAGUCAUUGUUGGAAUUCUAGCUAUGGGUGCUGUCAUGGCUGUGAGUUUUCAAUGACUGGGAUGUGUCUGUGGAUGUGUCUCUGCUAUUGGUUGGGGCUACAGAAGCCCCCGUUUGCUGUGGAAGAUAUUGGUCAUCUAGAAUCUCCCACAUUUUAACAGGGGACUUCUACACCUCGAUCACCAUGACAUAUCGUCUCAUCUGCUUGCUAGGUCUAGUUCCUAUAUUGUUUUUUUGGUAACUGAUUUUCCUGUUCCUUCUUGUACUUGGGAAUCCAAAUGCAUUAUGUUGAAGUGACUUUUUAAUUCAAACUCGAUUGACUGGAAUUAAUUUUACCUGAAGUUCUUCAGAUACUCCCUAUUUAAAAGUCCAUUUUCCUCUUAAUGGAAUGCUAUGCUUGGAUGAUGGAGCUUAGAGUUCACUUUCAUUCAAGUUGGGGCCAUUUUGCUAUGCUGAUUUAUUCUAAAUAUUCUUCUCCUGAAGUAGCAAUUGUUGGUCCUCUUUUCUGAUUUUAGGGGUCUAUUUUGCUGUAUUGUUGCUGUUCUUAUGCAUUUUUUUCUUUGUGUAUUUAGUUUGAAUUCUGAGUUUAUAUCUGUAGCAUGGAUCCUAGAAUAGUUUGUCUGCCAGUUUUGCUUUCUUCAUUCCUAAAUUUGCCCUCUGUUUGACUUGCUUAUGAUUUUGAAUUUGCAGAGGAUUAUGUUUGAACAGAUUUUUUUUUUUCUAUCCUGAAAACCUGUUCAGAUCUAUGUCCAGACUUUGGACUUUCUUUUAGGAUUGUGGUCCUUUAAGAGUCCUCUCCAUUUGACCACUGUUGAAACAUUAAAGCAUUUUGAAACUAUAUGGUCCCAAAAAUGUCCAAAGAAGAGCAUUUCUGUGUCCUGAAAUAAUGUAGCACCUUUCCAAUGGAUCCAGAGAUAAAAUAUUACCUAAGAAAUUCUCCAGAGGACUGAGCAUAUUUACUGGGAUAUUUCUGAGUAAAGGAUUGAAGUACUUAAUUAUUAGCCUUCUGGAUUUUUAACUUGUUUUAUGGGUUGAGUACCCAGAGGAAUGAAUGAAAAACAUACACUUACACUUUCUAAAAAGUAGUACUGAGGGGACCAUGGAUAGCAUCCACAAAAUUAAUCAUUUUAGACAAUAUUUCUAAUGCUAUCCUGAGUGUUUAUAGAUUACAUAACUGAUUAAGGGAAAACCAUAGGCAUUCAGAAGGCAUGGUCAUAUCUAUUAUAUAAAUGUCUUUUAGUCAUUGUUGAUAAUAUUGGGGAGCAUGGGAACAAUAUAAUUUCUAAAAUGUAUGGUAUUCACAUUAUAUUAAUUAAUCUUCAUGAGAAAAGCACAAUACACAUAAAAACCUUUAUACUCUUAUGUUUAGUUUGUCAAGAUAUUGAUAUAGGUUAUUGCAUGGAGAUAAAAGAGCCUAUCAAUAGGUAGGUAUGUAGAAUUCAUCCUGGCUGAAAGGUGCAGCAUGCUCUAGAUUGUGUGCUAGAAACAUGUUUCGCACUAAUAGAUAAGCAUAUAUUCUGUUUCAAGACGAAAAGGAACAGAAAAAGUAAGGAAAUGUAUUGGCCAGGUAUAUACAGAAUAAAUUAAACACCUGCCUUGGCUUCAGCCUCUAGAAAUUUGAACAACCUAAUGUCCACUCUCUGAACUUUUCAUUAUUUCUGAUCCAGCGAUGGUUCCAGUAGUGUGAUGAUUAUCAGUUAUCUAGGCAAGGCAUGUUGUUGAGAUUUGUGGUUAUUUGAGUAUUUACUUCAAAUACAGGCAAACAGUGCAGAUGUAAGUGGAACUACCCAUGUGUUUGUAGAUUGAGGUAUUCAUGAUUAUAAGAGAAAUGUGCUGCAGUCAUUAGCAAUGAUGAUGAAAGCUGUUGAUUUUUGGAUCAGAAGUAUUAGGAACGGAAAAGAAUUUAAGCAGUGAAAUGCCUUGAUAACCAAUUCAAAUAUUGUGAGUGUUUGCUAUCUAGAUUAGCGUUUAUCAGAUUUUAAUGUAGGCCCAUGAUAGUGUGAUUUGUAACAAGAGAUAUGUAUUUGAUCUUUGUUCCUGUUUCUGCCACAGAGCUCCUACAACCCUAAAAUGUUUUAAAUGAUGAGAACUAUGAAGACGUCUUUUGUUACAUUAAUGAGGUGAUAUUUGAACCCUGCCUAAGGAUGGGGGCCAGUUCCCAGGGGAGCAAACCCUGUGAUUAGAGGGUUGGGUUUGUUAGCCGCAUCCCCAUGACCUCCAAGGAUGGAAGGGAGGUGGAAAAAGAAUCAGAGCAGUAUGCAAUAGCCAGUGACUUAACCAAUCAUGCCAAUGUCAUGAAGUCACCAUGAAAACCCAAAAGAACAGGAUCUGGAAAGUUUCCAGGUUGGUGAACAUGUUAAGCUUGGAGAAAGUGGUGUAUUUGGAGGGAACGUGGAAGCUCCGUGCCCCUUCACAAUACAUUGCCUAUGCAUCUCCUCCAUCUGGCUGUUCUUGAGUCAUAUUCUUUUAUAAUAAACAGGUGCUGAGUCAGUAACAUAUUUCUCUGAGUUCUGCAAGCUACUUCAGUAAGUUAAAUAAACCCAAGUAGGGUUUGUUGGAAGCUCUAAUUUAUAGCAGGUUGUGGGCUUGUGAUUGACACUUGAAAUGGGGAGAUGGGUAAUUCUGUAAGACUGAGCCCUUAACCUGUGGGAUCUGGUACCUUCUAUGAGUAGACAGUAUCAGAAUUGAGUAAACUGUAGAACAUCUAGCUGGAAGGCAGCUAUGCUCACCACUGUACCACCUGCUAGAACAUCUAGCUGGUAAUCUGAGAAUUGCUUGGUGGUGGGGGGAAAGUCUACCCCCUCCACCACUGGAAAUGGGUGCAGAACCCAAUUUAGGGACCAAAAUGCACAAGAUUUUAUUAAAAAUAAAGUUCCAAUUCAUGGGUCUGGAUUGGGGCCUAGUAUUCCUCUUUUCUAGUUUUAACUGAAAGAAAAACCAUACAAAUUAAGAGCUGUGAGUUAAAUUUUAUUCAGGGUCUUAAUGACUAAAGCCUUGGAAACAGCCUCUAAGUAGCUCUGAGGGAACUGGUCCGAUGCAAUAGGGGAAGAAGACAGUAUAUAGAGGAAAUACAUGCAGCCAAGCACACAUCUUUGUAAAAAGUUACUGCUAGUUACAAGAAACGUGUAUCACCAUUAAUGAUUUUAGUGCUUUUCAAUGUGUGGAAGAAUCUGGAUUCAUUAUAAUUCUUCCUAAAAUAUAAUCUAUCUAAAGGGCCUGUUUUUACAAAACACAGAGUGCCUCAUUCUGCUUUUUUGUCUGCAGCUCUGUUCAGGUUGCAAUGUCAGUCAGCAACUGCAGUGGCUAGUGACUUAAUCCUUAUAGAACUGAAUAUUGGGUAACAUUCUUUGCUUCACAUUAGUAAGCCCCCAGGAGAUGCUGAUGCUGCUGGUUUGAGGACUACACUUUCAGUACCAAAGAUCUAGAUAACCUUAGGAUGAAUAUAAUGUGCCUUUCGAGUUAACAAAUAUUUUUAUUUUUAAUGACUAUUUAUUUAUUUAUUUAUUAGGGCUGCACCUGUGGCACAUGGAAGUCCCAGGCUAGGGGUUGAAUAAGAGCUGCAGCUGCUGGCCUACACCACAACCACAGCAAUGCAGAAUCCAAGCCUCAUCUGCAACCUACACCAUAGCUCAUGGCAAUGCCAGAUCCUUAACCUACUGAGCGAGGCCAGGGAUCGAACCUACAUUCUCGUGGAUACUAGUUGGAUUC
RNAcentral lists this long non-coding RNA (4884 nucleotides) under Sus scrofa (pig). RNAcentral describes it as "lncRNA (ENSSSCG00040034092.1)". Lineage: Eukaryota; Metazoa; Chordata; Mammalia; Artiodactyla; Suidae. The record is from RNAcentral.